CCUACGGGAGGCAGCAGUGGGGGAUAUUGGACAAUGGGGGAAACCCUGAUCCAGCGACGCCGCGUGAGUGAAGAAGUAUUUCGGUAUGUAAAGCUCUAUCAGCAGGGAAGAAAGAAAUGACGGUACCUGAGUAAGAAGCCCCGGCUAACUACGUGCCAGCAGCCGCGGUAAUACGUAGGGGGCGAGCGUUAUCCGGAAUUAUUGGGUGUAAAGGGUGCGUAGACGGGAAUGCAAGUUAGUUGUGAAAUCCCUCGGCUUAACUGAGGAACUGCAACUAAAACUACAUUUCUUGAGUGCAGGAGAGGUAAGUGGAAUUCCUAGUGUAGCGGUGAAAUGCGUAGAUAUUAGGAGGAACACCAGUGGCGAAGGCGACUUACUGGACUGUAACUGACGUUGAGGCACGAAAGUGUGGGGAGCAAACAGGAUUAGAUACCCCUGUAGUC
This 443-nucleotide ribosomal RNA is filed under the name uncultured bacterium. RNAcentral's name for it is "partial 16S ribosomal RNA". It matches the Rfam family "Bacterial small subunit ribosomal RNA", at positions 338 to 795 of the family's 1533-position model. The record is from RNAcentral.